GACGGAGGAUGCAAGCGUUAUCCGGAAUGAUUGGGCGUAAAGCGUCCGCAGGUGGCAGUUCAAGUCUGCUGUCAAAGACCGGGGCUUAACUUCGGAAAGGCAGUGGAAACUGAACAGCUAGAGUAUGGUAGGGGCAGAGGGAAUUCCUGGUGUAGCGGUGAAAUGCGUAGAUAUCGAGAGGAACACCUGCGGCGAAGGCGGGUUGCUGGGCUGACACUGACGCUGAGGCGCGAAGCUAGGGGAGCGAACGGG
This 252-nucleotide ribosomal RNA is filed under the name uncultured bacterium. Its description in RNAcentral is "partial 16S ribosomal RNA". It matches the Rfam family "Bacterial small subunit ribosomal RNA", at positions 524 to 776 of the family's 1533-position model. The record is from RNAcentral.